CAGCCGCCGCGGUAAUACGGAGGGUGCGAGCGUUAAUCGGAAUAACUGGGCGUAAAGGGCACGCAGGCGGUGACUUAAGUGAGGUGUGAAAGCCCCGGGCUUAACCUGGGAAUUGCAUUUCAUACUGGGUCGCUAGAGUACUUUAGGGAGGGGUAGAAUUCCACGUGUAGCGGUGAAAUGCGUAGAGAUGUGGAGGAAUACCGAAGGCGAAGGCAGCCCCUUGGGAAUGUACUGACGCUCAUGUGCGAAAGCGUGGGGAGCAAACAGGAUUAGAGACCCGCGUAGUCCCUGUCUCUUAUAC
Molecule: ribosomal RNA, 301 nt
Filed under: uncultured bacterium
Lineage: Bacteria
Description: partial 16S ribosomal RNA
Rfam family: Bacterial small subunit ribosomal RNA
Source: RNAcentral